RNAcentral lists this ribosomal RNA (958 nucleotides) under Microbacteriaceae bacterium Tianshan47-2. Its description in RNAcentral is "bacterial SSU rRNA". It matches the Rfam family "Bacterial small subunit ribosomal RNA", at positions 555 to 1507 of the family's 1533-position model. The record is from RNAcentral. Lineage: Bacteria; Bacillati; Actinomycetota; Actinomycetes; Micrococcales; Microbacteriaceae.
UGGGCGUAAAGAGCUCGUAGGCGGUUUGUCGCGUCUGCUGUGAAAACUGGAGGCUCAACCUCCAGCCUGCAGUGGGUACGGGCAGACUAGAGUGCGGUAGGGGAGAUUGGAAUUCCUGGUGUAGCGGUGGAAUGCGCAGAUAUCAGGAGGAACACCGAUGGCGAAGGCAGAUCUCUGGGCCGUAACUGACGCUGAGGAGCGAAAGGGUGGGGAGCAAACAGGCUUAGAUACCCUGGUAGUCCACCCCGUAAACGUUGGGAACUAGAUGUGGGGACCAUUCCACGGUCUCCGUGUCGCAGCUAACGCAUUAAGUUCCCCGCCUGGGGAGUACGGCCGCAAGGCUAAAACUCAAAGGAAUUGACGGGGGCCCGCACAAGCGGCGGAGCAUGCGGAUUAAUUCGAUGCAACGCGAAGAACCUUACCAAGGCUUGACAUAUACCGGAAACGGCGAGAGAUCGUCGCCCCGCAAGGUCGGUAUACAGGUGGUGCAUGGUUGUCGUCAGCUCGUGUCGUGAGAUGUUGGGUUAAGUCCCGCAACGAGCGCAACCCUCGUUCUAUGUUGCCAGCACGUAAUGGUGGGAACUCAUGGGAUACUGCCGGGGUCAACUCGGAGGAAGGUGGGGACGACGUCAAAUCAUCAUGCCCCUUAUGUCUUGGGCUUCACGCAUGCUACAAUGGCCAGUACAAAGGGCUGCAAUACCGUAAGGUGGAGCGAAUCCCAAAAAAGCUGGUCCCAGUUCGGAUUGAGGUCUGCAACUCGACCUCAUGAAGUCGGAGUCGCUAGUAAUCGCAGAUCAGCAACGCUGCGGUGAAUACGUUCCCGGGCCUUGUACACACCGCCCGUCAAGUCAUGAAAGUCGGUAACACCCGACGCCGGUGGCCUAACCCUUUAUUGGGAGGGAGCCGUCUAAGGUGGGAUUGGUAAUUAGGACUAACUCGUAACAAGGUAACCGUAAAG